GCGCUCAUUGGGCAGCGCCCGCAGGUUGUUACAAAACCAGGCGGUUUUGUAACGCGCCGACCGCGGCCCCCGGCCCGCUGAGGGGCCGCCCGCCCGCCGCGGCCCACGGCAGCCGCCGCCGCACCGAGCCCCGGCCGAGGUCCGGCAGCGGGUGGGGGGAGCCGGCCGCGUCCCCCGGCGUGGCGGCGGCGGCGGGGGGUGGGGUGGUUCCCGGCGCCCGGCCCGGGGAGGGGCGCCCUGUCAGCGUUGGGCGGGCAGGCCGCGCCGCUGUGGCGGUCCGUGGGGCGCGGAGCAGCUCGGCGGGGCUGCCGGCCGGGAGCUAGCCCCGCACCCCCGCUCCGCCCCGCCGGCCCGGCCCGGGCACCUCCGCGGGGCCCUGCGCCUGGCACCGGCUGGGGGGCGCCUCCCGCCGGGCCGCCCGCUUACGCGCGCUGGGAAGUCGGGUCUGACCCGCGGUGACACGGCGGCGAGAGAUCCCGCCUUCGGUGUUUCGGUGCUCACCGUAAUACUAAAGAAAAAACAGUUCAAAGCGGCUUUGAAAAAAAGAAUGCCCUUUCCUGCGAGAACUGGGCUUUUAAAAGCUGCGGUCAGGCAGGCAGUCGCUCUCUUUAAGCGAAACCUACGCACUAGUGAAGCUAUUUCCAUGUUGGCUAAUCACGCUUUCAGGACAAGCGAUGGGAACAUUAGAAGGAAAAUGUCAUGUUUAUUUGAUCAUGUGGUGUGGCAGAUUGCAUAGAUACACCUGUCCGUGCCAGAUUCCAGAUAAAACAGCACAUGCCCUUCGGUGUAUGUUUGUUUUAUUUAAGGCCAGCUGUGCUGACUGCUUAGACCUGCACCUUCCUACCAGUUUUGAUUAUACGAAAGGAUUGUGCUAGUUGUGUAACUGUGCUAAACGUAGUCUAGGGAGAAAAUCACCUAUGCUGCCAUAGAGUAGAAGAGGUCGUUCUAAUAGUUGUCUGAUUAUAUAUUUUUUUUUUUGCACUUCUACGCAGAUCUACAGUUACAGUUGCUAGAAAUGCCCAAUAUACAUAUACAUACGUUUUCAAAUACUGCAAAAAUAUGAGGCACUUUUCACACUGUCUUAAAAUCCACUGCAGAAUUUGAAAUUUCUGAGGAUAUACUAUUACUGAUACUAAUGGCCUCCUCACAAAGCUGAAGAGAGGGGAUGAAAGAAUUAAUUUCCCGUUUCUUUCUUACAGAAGUGUCUGGACUCCCCAGCUCAGACUGUGUGAGCUAAGCAGGUAUUAAGGGACAAGCCCUGCCUAUGGAGUUUGAAUGGACAGGACAAAGGAUGGAAGGAAGGAGAGAUUUAAGACAAAGGAUUUGAGGUUAAUAAAAUUCAGUUAAUUCAACUAAAUCAUCUGGGUGAAAAAGGAAAAGGAGAGUGGGAAGAAACAGAAAUAACAGCUACAUAGUACAUUUUCUAUAUUGCCUGAUGUGAAAAAGGAAGCACUCCAGAAUGUUAACCGAUAGCCGCUGUGGUAAAGUAAGAGUGUCAUGCAUUGGAAGGAAAGAUAAAGAGGUUGCGAAAGGCUGUGGGGCCUACAGAAUUCUCAAGCAACAAAGUCCAGAUAUCCUGCUUGUCCAAACUUGCAAAAGAAAGGAAUUGAGCCUCAAAGCAAGAGACCUGGCAGCAACCUCAAGAACUGAGAGGACUAGGUACGGUCUAUACAUGGAAGGCAAAAGAUUUUUAAAUAUACAGAACAUUUUCAACUGCAGGAGACUAAUGGAAUUUCCUUUACCACUGCAAGCCCAAGAAGCCACAUGGAUGGAAAUCUAUCAUCUGUUGAGACGGAGAACCACAUCUGAGCAUAGGCACAGACUGGGUGACCCAGGUUAACACUAGUGCAAUGCACAAAUGCACAUGCUCACCUGAGUACCGACAGUGGUCUAGCUAGUCCCAGGCUGCUCUGCCAAGCACUGCCUAAUUUACUUCUUUGACUACAUUGAAGACACGCAGUUCUUUGACAGAGUCCCUUGUCAUCCUUCUGCCUACUGUAGCACAGAUAUCAAUUUUGCAAGAGGAAUCUAACAUCUGAUUUGCAUUUUCCAUAUGCAUCAGAAAUGCACAAAAAGGCAUCAUGUCCUUUUCACUUCUGACAUAUAUACAAGACUCAAAAUGCUGCAAUUCCCACUGCUUUUUAUAAAAAUUUUCAUUGUCAGUAGUCACACAGUCACACUGCAAUUAAAAACCUAAACCAAAUGUGUAACUUCUCCCUGUGGCAUUCACAUUUUAAAAUUGUUCAUAACAGAAUUAUCUUUUGGAUUUACCAUCUGACAUAAGCCCUGUUAGCAGGACAUUCUGAACUUGUCCAAAUGAAAGGAAACUGAAAUGCUGCGGACUAUAUUUGCUUGCAUAUGGUACCUUGAGCCAAAACACAGGUUUAUCCCAAAGACCUGCUAACUGUAGGAAUACCAUUCAUCAGGUACAGCAAUCAUGUUUACAGCCAGAUCUUUGGCAUUCAGAUCUAAGCAGCAGCAAGGUGAUUCUAAGAGAAGCACGUUGUUUGCCAUCAGAUAGCUCCACUUCUGUGCAUACUGGACAGGCACACCAACACAUCUCCACUGCAGAAUAGCAAAAGGUCUUCCACAGACUUACAACCAAAAAAAAACCCCCAACCUAAAACCAAACCAAAAACAACCAGGAACAACAGCACCAAGACUUGACAUUAGAUACCAGGAAAUAAACCCCCAAACUGACACAUAAAGAAUAUAUACUAGUUUUAUUCUCAGAAGUGAAACUUGCCCUGUUGUAAAGGGUUAACCUGAAGUCCAUGGCAUCAUUUAAGUUCCAUGGAAGACCUCAGACGGAGCAUAUGGGAUGUUCUGAAGCUGGACUGCCCACAGAGGGGUGAAUUUGCAGUGACACCCGCAACACUUUGCAGUGUAGCACAGGAUUUGUGCCUUCCUCAAUGGCUGCCUUCUUGUCAGCCCUUGUAAAAGUGAAAUCAGUCCACCUCUUUCCACCCACAGUGCCUUGGUGCUUCCUCCAGACUACUACUAACGCAUGAACUGAAGCCAAAACCUUUAAGCGUUCAAAUGUAACAAUGCCUGCUGUGCACUGAAUUCCUGUAUGCACCACUAUGUUAUUUAUAGAAUAAACAGCAUUCCUUUCCAAAGGUUGAAAAUAUGGAAGAGUUCAUGCCAUCUUCUGGCAAGCCUUUAUGUACAGUGUCAUAAAUACUGCCACUGACUAAUUCUGACGUAAAAAGCAAAGAGUUUUACUUUCCUUCUAGCAGCAAGAACUGUACUGAAGAAAAAGAAUAAAACUACCCCUGCCAGAGAAGAGAAUGUUACCAUUCUCUACCAAAUGUAGGAGGCUUAGAAGCGUAUCAUACAUUAUAUAAACUACCCCAGUAAUUUUCCUGCCUUCAGGAGCCACCAUUGGGUCUGAAGGUUACAGUUGAUAACAAAACCAUCCAUACCAGAUAGCAAUGGUGCUUUUCAGUGAUUAAUAUUCCUCUAACAAAUGAGGCUUCAUUGGCAUUUCAUUAUAUAUUGUAUGUGGCUAUGCUGAACAUGAAGGAUUCCCAAGCAAACCAACCAAUGAUAAUACAUGGUUUACAAAAGCUUUAAUAUUUUAAACAGUAAUUCAACUUUCUAAAAAGAACUUCAA
Falco peregrinus (peregrine falcon) is the source of this 3616-nucleotide long non-coding RNA. RefSeq lists it as uncharacterized. NCBI's taxonomy places the organism in Eukaryota, Metazoa, Chordata, Aves, Falconiformes, Falconidae. The record is from RefSeq and is a predicted model, not a curated record. The transcript is spliced from 2 exons.